ACUGACUGCUAUCGGAUUGAUACUAAGCCAUGCGAGUCAUUGUAGUAAUACAAGGCAGACGGCUCAGUAACGCGUAGUCACCUAACCUAUGGACGGGAAUAACCUCGGGAAACUGAGUAUAAUGCCCGAUAGAACAUUAUGCCUGGAAUGGUUUAUGUUCCAAAUGAUUUAUCGCCGUAGGAUGGGACUGCGGCCUAUCAGUUUGUUGGUGAGGUAAUGGCCCACCAAGACUAUUACAGGUACGGGCUCUGAGAGGAGUAGCCCGGAGAUGGGUACUGAGACACGGACCCAGGCCCUAUGGGGCGCAGCAGGCGAGAAAACUUUGCAAUGUGCGAAAGCACGACAAGGUUAAUCCGAGUGGUUUCUGCUAAAGGAACCUUUUGUCGGUCCUAGAAACACCGAUGAAUAAGGGGUGGGCAAGUUCUGGUGUCAGCCGCCGCGGUAAAACCAGCACCUCAAGUGGUCAGGAUGAUUAUUGGGCCUAAAGCAUCCGUAGCCGGCUCUGUAAGUUUUCGGUUAAAUCUGUACGCUCAACGUACAGGCUGCCGGGAAUACUGCAGAGCUAGGGAGUGGGAGAGGUAGACGGUACUCGGUAGGAAGGGGGUAAAAAUCCUUUGAUCUAUUGAUGACCACCUGUGGCGAAGGCGGUCUACCAGAACACGUCCGACGGUGAGGGAUGAAAGCUGGGGGAGCAAACCGGAUUAGAUACCCGGGUAGUCCCAGCUGUAAACUAUGCAAACUCAGUGAUGCAUUGGCUUGUGGCUAAUGCAGUGCUGCAGGGAAGCCGUUAAGUUUGCCCCCUGGGAAGUACGUACGCAAGU
Molecule: ribosomal RNA, 821 nt
Filed under: uncultured marine archaeon
Lineage: Archaea
Description: bacterial SSU rRNA
Rfam family: Archaeal small subunit ribosomal RNA
Source: RNAcentral